RNAcentral lists this non-coding RNA (44 nucleotides) under Schistosoma haematobium. The record is from RNAcentral. Lineage: Eukaryota; Metazoa; Platyhelminthes; Trematoda; Strigeidida; Schistosomatidae. RNAcentral also lists the same sequence under 1 other name.
AUAGAAUGACGAGUCCCAAACAGGACGAAACGCGCGUCCUGGAU